CCUACGGGUGGCAGCAGUGGGGGAUAUUGGACAAUGGGGGCAACCCUGAUCCAGCGAUGCCGCGUGUGUGAAGAAGGCCUGAGGGUUGUAAAGCACUUUCAGUGGGGAGGAGAUAUCUUAUGUUAAGAGCUAGAGGUUGAGACGUUACCCACAGAAGAAGCACCGGCUAACUCCGUGCCAGCAGCCGCGGUAAUACGGAGGGUGCGAGCGUUAAUCGGAAUUAUUGGGCGUAAAGGGUGCGUAGGUGGUUGGAUAAGUUAUCUGUGAAAACCCUGGGCUUAACCUGGGGGAGAGAGAUAAGACUGUUUAACUAGAGUAUGGGAGAGGGUAGUGGAAUUUCCGGUGUAGCGGUGAAAUGCGUAGAGAUCGGAAGGAACACCGGUGGCGAAGGCGGCUACCUGGCCUAAUACUGACACUGAGGCACGAAAGCGUGGGGAGCGAACAGGAUUAGAUACCCUUGUAGUC
RNAcentral lists this ribosomal RNA (465 nucleotides) under uncultured bacterium. RNAcentral's name for it is "bacterial SSU rRNA". It matches the Rfam family "Bacterial small subunit ribosomal RNA", at positions 338 to 795 of the family's 1533-position model. The record is from RNAcentral.